UACGGAGGGUGCAAGCGUUGUUCGGAAUUAUUGGGCGUAAAGAGCUCGUAGGCGGUUUGUUGCGUCGGCUGUGAAAUCCCGAGGCUCAACCUCGGGUCUGCAGUCGAUACGAGCAAACUAGAGUGUUGCAGGGGAGACUGGAAUUCCUGGUGUAGCGGUGAAAUGCGCAGAUAUCAGGAGGAACACCGGUGGCGAAGGCGGGUCUCUGGGCAACAACUGACGCUGAGGAGCGAAAGCGUGGGGAGCGAACAGG
RNAcentral lists this ribosomal RNA (253 nucleotides) under uncultured bacterium. Its description in RNAcentral is "partial 16S ribosomal RNA". It matches the Rfam family "Bacterial small subunit ribosomal RNA", at positions 524 to 776 of the family's 1533-position model. The record is from RNAcentral.